AACAGGAUUAGAUACCCUGGUAGUCCACGCUGUAAACGAUGUCGACUUGGAGGUUGUGCCCUUGAGGCGUGGCUUCCGGAGCUAACGCGUUAAGUCGACCGCCUGGGGAGUACGGCCGCAAGGUUAAAACUCAAAUGAAUUGACGGGGGCCCGCACAAGCGGUGGAGCAUGUGGUUUAAUUCGAUGCAACGCGAAGAACCUUACCUACUCUUGACAUCCAGAGAAUUUGCUAGAGAUAGCUUAGUGCCUUCGGGAACUCUGAGACAGGUGCUGCAUGGCUGUCGUCAGCUCGUGUUGUGAAAUGUUGGGUUAAGUCCCGCAACGGGCGCAACCCUUAUCCUUUGUUGCCAGCACGUAAUGGUGGGAACUCAAAGGAGACUGCCGGUGAUAAACCGGAGGAAGGUGGGGAUGACGUCAAGUCAUCAUGGCCCUUACGAGUAGGGCUACACACGUGCUACAAUGGCAUAUACAAAGAGAAGCGAACUCGCGAGAGCAAGCGGACCUCAUAAGGUAUGUCGUAGUCCGGAUUGGAGUCUGCAACUCGACUCCAUGAAGUCGGAAUCGCUAGUAAUCGUAGAUCAGAAUGCUACGGUGAAUACGUUCCCGGGCCUUGUACACACCGCCCGUCACACCAUGGGAGUGGGUUGCAAAAGAAGUAGGUAGCUUAACCUUCGGGAGGGCGCUUACCACUUUGUGAUUCAUGACUGGGGUGAAGUCGUAACAAGGUAACC
RNAcentral lists this ribosomal RNA (731 nucleotides) under uncultured bacterium. RNAcentral's name for it is "bacterial SSU rRNA". It matches the Rfam family "Bacterial small subunit ribosomal RNA", at positions 771 to 1501 of the family's 1533-position model. The record is from RNAcentral.